UGGGGAAUAUUGGACAAUGGAGGAAACUCUGAUCCAGCAAUUCUGUGUGUGUGAAGAAGGUUUUAGGACUGUAAAACACUUUUAGUAGGGAAGAAAAAAAUGACGGUACCUACGGAAGAAGCAACGGCUAAAUACGUGCCAGCAGCCGCGGUAAUACGUAUGUUGCGAGCGUUAUCCGGAAUUAUUGGGCUUAAAGGGCAUCUAGGCGGUAAGACAAGUUGAAGGUGAAAACCUGUGGCUCAACCAUAGGCUUGCCUACAAAACUGUUGAACUAGAGUACUGGAAAGGUGGGUGGAACUACACGAGUAGAGGUGAAAUUCGUAGAUAUGUGUAGGAAUGCCGAUGAUGAAGAUAACUCACUGGACAGAAACUGACGCUGAAGUGCGAAAGCUAGGGGAGCAAACAGG
Molecule: ribosomal RNA, 407 nt
Filed under: Verrucomicrobiota bacterium
Lineage: Bacteria; Pseudomonadati; Verrucomicrobiota
Description: Verrucomicrobia bacterium partial 16S ribosomal RNA
Rfam family: Bacterial small subunit ribosomal RNA
Source: RNAcentral